GGGAAUGUGGCUUAGUGGUAAAGUGCUUGCCUAGUAUGCACGAAGCCCUGGGUUUGAUUCCUCAGUACCA
Molecule: transfer RNA, 70 nt
Filed under: Dipodomys ordii (Ord's kangaroo rat)
Lineage: Eukaryota; Metazoa; Chordata; Mammalia; Rodentia; Heteromyidae
Rfam family: tRNA
About the family: Transfer RNA (tRNA) molecules are approximately 80 nucleotides in length. Their secondary structure includes four short double-helical elements and three loops (D, anti-codon, and T loops). Further hydrogen bonds mediate the characteristic L-shaped molecular structure. tRNAs have two regions of fundamental functional importance: the anti-codon, which is responsible for specific mRNA codon recognition, and the 3' end, to which the tRNAs corresponding amino acid is attached (by aminoacyl-tRNA synthetases). tRNAs cope with the degeneracy of the genetic code in two manners: having more than one tRNA (with a specific anti-codon) for a particular amino acid; and 'wobble' base-pairing, i.e. permitting non-standard base-pairing at the 3rd anti-codon position.
Source: Rfam by way of RNAcentral